AUUGAACGCUGGCGGCAUGCCUUACACAUGCAAGUCGAACGGCAGCACGGGUGCUUGCACCUGGUGGCGAGUGGCGAACGGGUGAGUAAUACAUCGGAACAUGUCCUGUAGUGGGGGAUAGCCCGGCGAAAGCCGGAUUAAUACCGCAUACGAUCCACGGAUGAAAGCGGGGGACCUUCGGGCCUCGCGCUAUAGGGUUGGCCGAUGGCUGAUUAGCUAGUUGGUGGGGUAAAGGCCUACCAAGGCGACGAUCAGUAUCUGGUCUGAGAGGACGACCAGCCACACUGGGACUGAGACACGGCCCACACUCCUACGGGAGGCAGCAGUGGGGAAUUUUGGACAAUGGGCGAAAGCCUGAUCCAGCAAUGCCGCGUGUGUGAAGAAGGCCUUCGGGUUGUAAAGCACUUUUGUCCGGAAAGAAAUCCUUGACUCUAAUACAGUCGGGGGAUGACGGUACCGGAAGAAUAAGCACCGGCUAACUACGUG
Molecule: ribosomal RNA, 486 nt
Filed under: uncultured bacterium
Lineage: Bacteria
Description: partial 16S ribosomal RNA
Rfam family: Bacterial small subunit ribosomal RNA
Source: RNAcentral